This 877-nucleotide ribosomal RNA is filed under the name uncultured bacterium. RNAcentral's name for it is "bacterial SSU rRNA". It matches the Rfam family "Bacterial small subunit ribosomal RNA", at positions 29 to 946 of the family's 1533-position model. The record is from RNAcentral.
AUGAACGCUGGCGGCGUGCCUAGACAUGCAAGUCGAGUGGGUUUAGGCCCACGGCAAACGGGUGAGUAAUAUCUAGGAACGUGCCCUGAGUUGAGCAUAACCUACCGAAAGGUAGAGCAAUUCUCAAUGUGACCGCAAGGUUAAAGUCGCAAGACGCUCAGGAAGCGGCCUGGACACCAUCAGCUUGUUGGUAAGGUAAAAGCUUACCAAGGCUAUGACGGUUAGGGGCCCCGAGAGGGGAAACCCCCACACUGGAACUGAGACACGGUCCAGACUCCUACGGGAGGCAGCAGUUUGGAGUUUUGGACAAUGGGCGAAAGCCUGAUCCAGCGACGCCGCGUGGACGAUGAAGGCCUUCGGGUUGUAAAGUCCUUUUGUUAGGGAAGAAUAUUUUGACGGUACCUAACGAAUAAGAGGUUGCUAACUCUGUGCCAGCAGCAGCGGUAAUACAGAGACCUCGAGCGUUAUCCGGAAUCAUUGGGCGUAAAGCGUACCGAUAGGUGGUUAAGAAAGUCAGAUGUGAAAUCUCCGAGCUCAACUCGGAAUCUGUCAUUUGAAACUUCUUGACUAGAGGAGCAAAGAGGAAGCUGGAACGAACGGUGUAGUAGUGAAAUGCGUUGAUAUCGUUCGGAACACCAAUAGCGUAGGCAGGCUUCUGGGUGCUACCUGACACUGCUAGGACGAAAGCGUGGGGAGCGAAGGGGAUUAGAUACCCCCGUAGUCCACGCUGUAAACGAUGUACAUUAGGCGCUAGGGAGUAUCGACCCUCUUUAGUGCCAAAGCUAACGCGUUAAAUGUACCGCCUGGGGAGUACGGCCGCAAGGCUAAAACUCAAAGGAAUUGACGGGGACCCGCACAAGCGGUGGAGCAUGUGGUU